Molecule: ribosomal RNA, 1371 nt
Filed under: uncultured bacterium
Lineage: Bacteria
Description: bacterial SSU rRNA
Rfam family: Bacterial small subunit ribosomal RNA
Source: RNAcentral
GAUAAACGCUGGCGGCGUGCCUAAUACAUGCAAGUCGAGCGAACGGACGAGAAGCUUGCUUCUCUGAUGUUAGCGGCGGACGGGUGAGUAACACGUGGAUAACCUACCUAUAAGACUGGGAUAACUUCGGGAAACCGGAGCUAAUACCGGAUAAUAUUUUGAACCGCAUGGUUCAAAAGUGAAAGACGGUCUUGCUGUCACUUAUAGAUGGAUCCGCGCUGCAUUAGCUAGUUGGUAAGGUAACGGCUUACCAAGGCAACGAUGCAUAGCCGACCUGAGAGGGUGAUCGGCCACACUGGAACUGAGACACGGUCCAGACUCCUACGGGAGGCAGCAGUAGGGAAUCUUCCGCAAUGGGCGAAAGCCUGACGGAGCAACGCCGCGUGAGUGAUGAAGGUCUUCGGAUCGUAAAACUCUGUUAUUAGGGAAGAACAUAUGUGUAAGUAACUGUGCACAUCUUGACGGUACCUAAUCAGAAAGCCACGGCUAACUACGUGCCAGCAGCCGCGGUAAUACGUAGGUGGCAAGCGUUAUCCGGAAUUAUUGGGCGUAAAGCGCGCGUAGGCGGUUUUUUAGUCUGAUGUGAAAGCCCACGGCUCAACCGUGGAGGGUCAUUGGAAACUGGAAAACUUGAGUGCAGAAGAGGAAAGUGGAAUUCCAUGUGUAGCGGUGAAAUGCGCAGAGAUAUGGAGGAACACCAGUGGCGAAGGCGACUUUCUGGUCUGUAACUGACGCUGAUGUGCGAAAGCGUGGGGAUCAAACAGGAUUAGAUACCCUGGUAGUCCACGCCGUAAACGAUGAGUGCUAAGUGUUAGGGGGUUUCCGCCCCUUAGUGCUGCAGCUAACGCAUUAAGCACUCCGCCUGGGGAGUACGACCGCAAGGUUGAAACUCAAAGGAAUUGACGGGGACCCGCACAAGCGGUGGAGCAUGUGGUUUAAUUCGAAGCAACGCGAAGAACCUUACCAAAUCUUGACAUCCUUUGACAACUCUAGAGAUAGAGCCUUCCCCUUCGGGGGACAAAGUGACAGGUGGUGCAUGGUUGUCGUCAGCUCGUGUCGUGAGAUGUUGGGUUAAGUCCCGCAACGAGCGCAACCCUUAAGCUUAGUUGCCAUCAUUAAGUUGGGCACUCUAAGUUGACUGCCGGUGACAAACCGGAGGAAGGUGGGGAUGACGUCAAAUCAUCAUGCCCCUUAUGAUUUGGGCUACACACGUGCUACAAUGGACAAUACAAAGGGCAGCGAAACCGCGAGGUCAAGCAAAUCCCAUAAAGUUGUUCUCAGUUCGGAUUGUAGUCUGCAACUCGACUACAUGAAGCUGGAAUCGCUAGUAAUCGUAGAUCAGCAUGCUACGGUGAAUACGUUCCCGGGUCU